Molecule: ribosomal RNA, 468 nt
Filed under: uncultured bacterium
Lineage: Bacteria
Description: partial 16S ribosomal RNA
Rfam family: Bacterial small subunit ribosomal RNA
Source: RNAcentral
GACGAACGCUGGCGGCGUGCCUAACACAUGCAAGUCGAACGGAACGGCCCUGCCUAUGUGCGCUGCUCUAGUGGCGAACGGGUGACUUACACGUGAGUACCCUGUCAUUGACCUUGGGAUAACCUAAGGCCACUGAGGCUCAUCCCGGCUAGGAUCUCCUGCCUUUUGGUGGGGGCUGGAUAGUUUAGGUGGUUGGGGAUGGACUCGCGUCCUAUCAGCUUGAUGGGUGGGUAGUGGCUUACCAAGGCUUGGACGGGUAGCCGGCCUGCGAGGGGGACCGGCCACGUUGGGCCGGGGAUACGACCCAGACUCGAACGGGAGGCAGCGGUGGAGAAGGUUGCACAAUGGGCGGAGGGCUGGUGCAGCAACGCCGCGUCCGGUGUGACGGCCUGCGGGUUGUAAACCGCUGUCGCCUUUGACGAAGCGUGAAUGACAGUAAUGGGUGAAGAAGCACCGGCUAACUACGUG